RNAcentral lists this ribosomal RNA (491 nucleotides) under uncultured bacterium. RNAcentral describes it as "partial 16S ribosomal RNA". It matches the Rfam family "Bacterial small subunit ribosomal RNA", at positions 29 to 506 of the family's 1533-position model. The record is from RNAcentral.
AGUGAACGCUGGCGGUAGGCCUAACACAUGCAAGUCGAACGGCAGCACAGUAAGAGCUUGCUCUUACGGGUGGCGAGUGGCGGACGGGUGAGGAAUACAUCGGAAUCUACUUUUUCGUGGGGGAUAACGUAGGGAAACUUACGCUAAUACCGCAUACGACCUACGGGUGAAAGCAGGGGAUCUUCGGACCUUGUGCGAUUGAAUGAGCCGAUGUCGGAUUAGCUAGUUGGCGGGGUAAAGGCCCACCAAGGCGACGAUCCGUAGCUGGUCUGAGAGGAUGAUCAGCCACACUGGAACUGAGACACGGUCCAGAAUCCUACGGGAGGCAGCAGUGGGGAAGAUUGGACAAUGGGCGCAAGCCUGAUCCAGCCAUACCGCGUGGGUGAAGAAGGCCUUCGGGUUGUAAAGCCCUUUUGUUGGGAAAGAAAAGCAGCAGGUUAAUACCCCGCUGUUCUGACGGUACCCAAAGAAUAAGCACCGGCUAACUUCGU